Molecule: ribosomal RNA, 234 nt
Filed under: uncultured bacterium
Lineage: Bacteria
Description: partial 16S ribosomal RNA
Rfam family: Bacterial small subunit ribosomal RNA
Source: RNAcentral
CGAACGGGUGCGUAACACGUGAGCAACCUGCCCCGAAGACUGGAAUAACGCCGGGAAACCGGCGCUAAUACCGGAUAUCCCCACGGAUUCGCAUGGAUCUGUGAGGAAAGGAUCCCGCUUCGGGAGGGGCUCGCGGCCUAUCAGUUUGUUGGUGGGGUAAUGGCCUACCAAGACUACGACGGGUAGCUGGUCUGAGAGGACGAUCAGCCACACUGGGACUGAGACACGGCCCAG